Molecule: ribosomal RNA, 485 nt
Filed under: uncultured bacterium
Lineage: Bacteria
Description: partial 16S ribosomal RNA
Rfam family: Bacterial small subunit ribosomal RNA
Source: RNAcentral
GACGAGCGCUGGCGGCGUGCUUAACACAUGCAAGUCGAACGGUGAAGGUGGAGCUUGCUCCGCCGGAUCAGUGGCGAACGGGUGAGUAACACGUGGGCAACCUGCCCCUCACUUCGGGAUAGCUCCGGGAAACCGGGGCUAAUACCGAAUACGACCUCCUUGGGCCUCCCGGGAGGUGGAAAGUUUUUCGGUGAGGGAUGGGCCCGCGGCCUAGCAGCUUGUGGGUGAGGUAACGGCUCACCAAGGCGACGACGGGUAGCCGGCCUGAGAGGGCGACCGGCCACACUGGGACUGAGACACGGCCCAGACUCCUACGGGAGGCAGCAGUGGGGAAUAUUGCGCAAUGGGCGAAAGCCUGACGCAGCAACGCCGCGUGCGGGAUGAAGGCCUUCGGGUUGUAAACCGCUUUCAGCAGGGAAGAAGCCGCAAGGUGACGGUACCUGCAGAAGAAGCACCGGCUAACUACGUGCCAGCCGCCGCGGUAA